Long non-coding RNA from Panicum hallii, 876 nucleotides. RefSeq lists it as uncharacterized. NCBI's taxonomy places the organism in Eukaryota, Viridiplantae, Streptophyta, Magnoliopsida, Poales, Poaceae. The record is from RefSeq and is a predicted model, not a curated record. The transcript is spliced from 2 exons.
AUGCACGGAUUUUCCUCCCCUGAUUAUAUCCCAAUUAACUACCAUCUUCUCUCUCCUCAUCCCCCAGAGGCUCUAGCGAACUCGCUGGAGACACUCGACGCCGUAUCCCACACACGUUCUCCCCCUCACUCCAUCUAUAAUCAAGGUGCUCGCCGGAGCAUCUUUGCCGGAUGGGCAUAGCAUCGAUUCGGUUGUAUUCCAGCCGGUCGGGCUACUCCAACAACGCCGCCGCCUAGCCGGAGCCGGCAACCAUCCAACUGGCCUCCGGCUGCCGAGCUCAUCCACCGCCGAUGUCGCCCAGCCAAAGCCAGCGGCUGUCCAACUGGCCUCCGGCUGCCAGGCUCCUCCAGCACCGUCGCCACCCAGCCGGAGUCCGUGGCCGUCCAACUAGCCUCUGGCAGAAAGCAGGCCACGCAACCGGCGGAUGUGUGGGGGGAGCGCUCAUAUACCAGAGUAUAUUGAACUUGAAACAAUCAUGCGACCAUGAGGUCACGCAGCGAGACAACAGCACGACCACUUCAUCAGUUCACGUGAAGUCAUACUACGGUGGAAAUAAUUCUGCAAGACAUUAGUUACUUUUUUCUUGUUCUUGUAAGCUAUGCACUACUGAAGCUAGUAUGAUGAAUAAUUGAACUAAUUAAUUUAUUGUGCUCUAACAUAAUGGACAUUCGGGCUUCAAGAUACCAAACCUGAAGUUGGGGAUUGCCAUUGAAGUGGAGGAAUAGAGGAAGGCAGUAAAUUAUAAAAACAAAUUUAUUUAAAUAUUUUGCUUCCCAAUCAACUUGUCAAAUGCUUACUUUCCUGUUGUACAAAUAACUGUGAUUUGUAAGAUGCCAUAUGUAUUACAGCAAAUAUUUACAGUUCAUGUGUCAUUCA